This 241-nucleotide unclassified non-coding RNA is filed under the name air metagenome. RNAcentral's name for it is "partial contains small subunit ribosomal RNA, internal transcribed spacer 1, and 5.8S ribosomal RNA". The stretch from base 1 to 46 matches the Rfam family "Eukaryotic small subunit ribosomal RNA", at positions 1786 to 1831 of the family's 1831-position model. The record is from RNAcentral.
AAGUCGUAACAAGGUCUCCGUAGGUGAACCUGCGGAGGGAUCAUUACCGAAUUCGCCCGUCAGGGCAGAGUUCCCACCCGUGUAGAACAUACCUUUGUUGCUUUGGCAGGCCGCCGGGGCUCGCCCCGCUGCCGGCUCACGCUGGCAAGCGCCUGCCAGAGGACCUUCAAACCUGAAAUUUAGUGUUGUCUGAGUACUAUUUAAUAAGUUAAAACUUUCAACAACGGAUCUCUUGGUUCUG